CACUAGUGAUUCCUACGGGAGGCAGCAGUGGGGAAUUUUCCGCAAUGGGCGAAAGCUGACGGAGCAAUACCGCGUGAGGGAAGACUGCCUAUGGGUUGUAAACCUCUUUUUUCAGGGAGGAAUAAAAUGACWGUGUACCUGAAGAAUAAGCAUCGGCUAACUCCGUGCCAGCAGCCGCGGCUAAGACGGAGGAUGCAAGUGUUAUCCGGAAUCACUGGGCGUAAAGCGUCUGUAGGUGGUUUAAUAAGUCAACUGUUAAAUCUUGAGGCUCAACUUCAAAAUCGCAGUCGAAACUAUUAGACUAGAGUAUAGUAGAGGUAAAGGGAAUUUCCAGUGGAGCGGUGAAAUGCGUAGAUAUUGGAAAGAACACCGAUGGCGAAAGCACUUUACUGGGCUAUUACUAACACUCAGAGACGAAAGCUAGGGUAGCAAAUGGGAUUAGAUACCCCAGUAGUCCUAGCCGUAAACUAUGGAUACUAGAUGUUGAACAGAUCGACCUGUGCAGUAUCGAAGCUAACGCGUUAAGUAUCCCGCCUGGGAAGUAUGCUCGCAAGAGUG
RNAcentral lists this ribosomal RNA (558 nucleotides) under uncultured alga. RNAcentral's name for it is "bacterial SSU rRNA". It matches the Rfam family "Bacterial small subunit ribosomal RNA", at positions 327 to 896 of the family's 1533-position model. The record is from RNAcentral.